GUUUGGGUGUGGCCGCAUGGCGUGCUGUGGUGCAGGUGGCCGAAGGGGGCGUUACUGUUGCGACUGGCAUCCGCAUCCGGCAGAUGUAGAUGGAACCAAAGUCCAGAAGUUACGCGUCACCCUUGCUCUACAGCCAAACAUGCAGGACUCUAGUAACCCGCGAAAUGAUGGGAUAGCGUUGCAAAUCCUUAAAAGAGUCUUAACGAAAUCCUGGCUGACAUUGACUUCUCCACUGCAACCAUCGAGUUCAUUGUCUCCUAAACCUUGCCAUGGAGGCCUGUGGCACCUGAGCCAGCCAUUAUCAUCACCAGCACUUCCAUGAGCUACAAGCUGGACCCACUGCAGUCCUCCUGACACACUGAAAUCAGAGCCUGCACACAGAGCAGCAGAUGCUUCAAUGUAAAGGUCAUUUCCAGCUAUGUGUUCCAAGAUUACUGAAGCAGGAUUCUGGCCUUCCUGAUAAGAACAUGACCAGAUCCAGCUGGUUUGCAACAAGAUGAACUUCAGUGCUGAGCUUUCACCAAGUUUUUCUCACUACAAUCUCAUUGUAAUACUAAAAUCUCCACCCAAGAUGGAGGUUAUCUGCCAUUUUCUGUACAUGUGUUACCAGAAAGGGGUCCUGAUCCAGACCCCAAAAGAGGGUUCUUGGAUCUCACGCAACAAAGAGUUCGGGGCGAGUCCAUAGAGUAAAGUGAAAGCAAGUUCAUCAAGAAAGCAAAGGAAUAAAGAAUGCCUACUCCAUAGGCAGAGCAGUGGCUUUGGCUGCUCAGCUGCUUGUACUUGUUACUUCUUGAGUAUAUGCUAAACAAGGGAUUGAUUACUCCUUGUUUAGCAGUUUUCUGGGAAAGGAGUGGGCAAUUCCCAGAACUGAGGGUUCCUCCCCUUUUUAGACCAUAUAGGGUGACUUCCUGAUGUUGCCAUGGCAUUUGUAAACUGUCAUGGCGCUAGUGGGAGUGUCUUUUAGCAUGCUAAUGCAUGAGCAGUGAGGAUGACCCGAGGUCAUUUUUGUUACCAUCUUGGUUUUGGUGGGUUUUGGCUGGUUUUGGCCGGCUUCUUUACCACUUCUUUUUAUCAGCAAGGUCUUUGUGACCUGUACUUAGUGCCGACUUCCUGUCUCAUCCUGUGAGUAAGAAUGCCUAAUCUCUCAGGAAUGCAGCCCAGUAGGUCUCAACCUUAUUUUACCCAGCCCCCAUUCAAGAUGGAGUGACUCUGGUUCAAAUGCCUCUGACACAUGUGCCUCAUGUUUGGGCAUGAGACCUCACUGUGUAGGUGCAGAGAAGACCCUGCCUAAACAUUGCCUACACGUUGCUCCUUUUUCCUGCCUCAACUUCCUUAAAAUGACAAGAGCAGAGCCCUUUUGGGAGCUAACAUCAGGACUCCUUUUCUGUACUCUGCUCCGUUGUGCUGCUAGAGCCACAAGCCUAUUAAACUUUGCCUGAAAUAAA
RNAcentral lists this long non-coding RNA (1445 nucleotides) under Homo sapiens (human). Its description in RNAcentral is "UBA6 divergent transcript". Lineage: Eukaryota; Metazoa; Chordata; Mammalia; Primates; Hominidae. The record is from RNAcentral.